Molecule: ribosomal RNA, 464 nt
Filed under: uncultured bacterium
Lineage: Bacteria
Description: bacterial SSU rRNA
Rfam family: Bacterial small subunit ribosomal RNA
Source: RNAcentral
CUCCUACGGGAGGCAGCAGUGGGGAAUAUUGCACAAUGGGCGCAAGCCUGAUGCAGCCAUGCCGCGUGUAUGAAGAAGGCCUUCGGGUUGUAAAGCACUUUCAGUAGGGAGGAAGGUAGUGUAGUUAACACCUGCACUAUUUGACGUUACCUACAGAAGAAGCACCGGCUAACUCCGUGCCAGCAGCCGCGGUAAUACGGAGGGUGCGAGCGUUAAUCGGAAUUACUGGGCGUAAAGCGCAUGCAGGCGGCCUGUUAAGUCAGAUGUGAAAGCCCGGGGCUCAACCUCGGAAUUGCAUUUGAAACUGGCAGACUAGAGUACUGUAGAGGGGGUAGAAUUUCAGGUGUAGCGGUGAAAUGCGUAGAGAUCUGAAGGAAUACCGGUGGCGAAGGCGGCCCCCUGGACAGAUACUGACACUCAGAUGCGAAAGCGUGGGGAGCAAACAGGAUUAGAUACCCUGGUAG